CUUCGUCGGAGCCGUCGGGCUGAGUCGGUGUUGAGACAGUGUUGGGUGAAGGUGGUGGUUCGUCGUCCGUCGCGUUCGAGUCCUCUAUAAUAUAACCUCCUCCUCCUCCUCCUCCUCCUCCUUCUCCUCCUCCGCGUCGUGAGCGACAUAAGACCGCACACUUAAGGGGGGAGAUGACGGAGGAGAAUAAUCUUAAUUGAUUAUUAAUAAUUAUACCAAUUAUUCGUCAUUAUUUACGGAUGUACAUCCAAGGGGAAAUGGAUGAUGAUGAGUGAGUGAUUGAGAAUUAUAUAUUUUUUAAUACGAUUUUUUUUGGAAAAGAAUAAAAAUUGAAAAAUAAAUAAAAAUAAUAUAGGACGGUUACGUCUUUUGAUGUGGCGACUAGACCACGUGGUAUGAUCGAGUUUUUUUUUCUUUUAAAUAUUAUUAUAUAUAUAAAUUUGAGAUGCAGAUUUAAUAAUGAUUUAUUACAUAUACAGAAAGAUGAAUAAGCUACGUUAUACGGUAGUUAUUUUACGGUAAAAAACGUCGUUGAUAUUUGUAAACAAACGUUUGUUUGACAGUGAGAAAAAUAUAUAUGAAAAUAUAUAUAUAUAUACUAUGAAAAAGUAAUUAUAUACAUUACAGUCAUUACCUAGGCCUACGUAGACACACUUCAAACUAUAUAACACCUGGGAAAAGUAAUUAGUAUUCUCGUCACUUAAGAAGCUGUGGCAGGCUUCGGUUUCAAAGGUUGCACAAGACUUGAGACUCUCAGCCACAGCGGAACGAUCAGAUCGAAGUCCUCCUGCCAAUCCCUUUAAGAAACUGGAAGACCAAGGUGAAUUUCAUCUGCUUGCUGGUCUACAUGGAUAGAUGGAACUUAUAAGUAAAGG
This is a long non-coding RNA of Macrobrachium nipponense, 875 nucleotides long. RefSeq lists it as uncharacterized. NCBI's taxonomy places the organism in Eukaryota, Metazoa, Arthropoda, Malacostraca, Decapoda, Palaemonidae. The transcript is spliced from 6 exons. The record is from RefSeq and is a predicted model, not a curated record.